AAAUUUCACAAUUGGGGAAACCCUGAUGCAGCCACGCCGCGGGAGGGAAUAAGGCCUUCGGGUCGUAAAGCCCUGUCCUAAGGGAAGAAACGUACGGGACCUUAGGAGGAAGCCCCGGCUAACCACGUGCCAGCAGCCGCGGUAAUACGUAGGGGGCGAGCGUUAUCCGGAAUUAAUGGGCGUAAAGGGUGCGUAGGCGGCCUUUUAAGUCAGAUGUGAAAGGCUACGGCUUAACCGUAGUUAGCAUUUGAAACUAAAAGGCUUGAGUGCAGGAGAGGAGAGUGGAAUUCCUAGUGUAGCGGUGAAAUGCGUAGAUAUUAGGAGGAACACCAGUGGCGAAGGCGACUCUCUGGACUGCAACUGACGCUGAGGCACGAAAGCGUGGGGAGCGAACA
This 395-nucleotide ribosomal RNA is filed under the name uncultured bacterium. RNAcentral describes it as "partial 16S ribosomal RNA". It matches the Rfam family "Bacterial small subunit ribosomal RNA", at positions 359 to 774 of the family's 1533-position model. The record is from RNAcentral.